UACGGGGGGAGCAAGCGUUGCUCGGAAUUACUGGGCGUAAAGGGCGCGUAGGCGGACAUUUAAGUUAGAGGUGAAAGCCCAGGGCUCAACCCUGGAAUAGCCUUUAAUACUGGAUGUCUUGAGUUCGGGAGAGGUGAGUGGAACUCCGAGUGUAGAGGUGAAAUUCGUAGAUAUUCGGAAGAACACCAGUGGCGAAGGCGACUCACUGGCCCGAUACUGACGCUGAGGCGCGAAAGCGUGGGGAGCAAACAGG
Molecule: ribosomal RNA, 253 nt
Filed under: uncultured bacterium
Lineage: Bacteria
Description: partial 16S ribosomal RNA
Rfam family: Bacterial small subunit ribosomal RNA
Source: RNAcentral